AAAGUCUCGUCAGUUUCUAACCCCGCUGUGUCUUGGAUUUCUUGUUCUUCCCAGGUCCAGAAGAACAAAGGAGGCCAAAUCCAACCGCAAAGUAAGCAUCACCUUCCGACUCUGUUCCGUCACACUGCCCUGUUUCUCCUCCUGACGAUCCUCUGUUUCUGGUGUUCUUUCCGCUCAGGUUGCACGAAUCUCUGUAACUACCGCUGCUCUCAAACUCAGUACCACAAGCCUUGCAUCAAGUACUGUAACCUUUGCUGCCAGAAAUGCCUCUGCGUUCCCCCCGGCUUCUACGGCAACAAGCAAGUCUGCCCCUGCUACAACAACAUGAAGAAUGCCCGCGGCGGUCCAAAGUGCCCGUGAAGAGUGUAUCGAUCGCCCGGCACUCGACGAGAUCUUACUUAGCUUCUUGCAGACGGACUUGUAUUGGCAUGAAAAAAUCUGCCCAUCUGUUUCAGAAGACUCUCACCAAGUUGUAAGAGAAUGAAUACUAUGGCUUUCUCCUCGCUCAUCUUCUCCGCGAUCGAACGGCAAUGGGCGAGACACGUGAGCUGACACGAGCGCGGCUUUUCGUUGGCGAAAAGCUUUCCUCGACAACCAACUUGACUGUUCCUGAAUCUGAAUUUGUUGACUGGACUAGCUAACAGCAAUAAAUCAGAGGAAAGUUCGCAAACAUAGAUUCUAUACCGAAACCAUCUCUCCUUGUGAUCGUCCAGUUGCAAAUCAGUGAAUGUAGAAACAAGUUUAAUAAACUAACUAAAAAGUAGUCGUAGUCCCAAUGUUGAUCAUGCUAAAAGAUAAGCCUGCAGAUUUAGCCUGGAUUAGGGCGCAGUGCUGCUAUUAAAGAACAGAGCCAAGGCGUUUAAGGGCGCCCCGCUUGAUUGUCUUCUGGUUCUGGGGACGGCCAUAGAUGUAGGUGAUUAAAUAAGGUUUGUGGAAAAUUAAUUAGCCUGGAGUUUUGCUGUAGGUUAGGUUACAUCAACCAACACAUUUAACUCAAGAUAUACCACCUUGUUUAGUUUUGUUUGCUCUCUUUGACUAUGAAGAGCCCAAAAAAAGUAUAAAAAUCCCCUUUGUAAUAUAUUAUAUCAGGAACACUGCACACUUACUUGAACAAAACUGUUUAAAAUUAAUUAGGAAAUAUGAGGCUAAUGGGAAAGAUGCCAUUUUCUCACAUGCUCAUGGAAUGUGGUGAUGAUUUGGGGUUUGGCUUGUUUGACUAGUAUAAAGCACUUGGGUUUAGGACCAAAUUGCUCUUUGGCGUACCUUUUCAAGAGUGUCUUAUCAAAUAUAAUACAGGGUUAUCAAUGAGAGUUGAAGGUGGUAAGGUAAAGUUUCUUUUGUCUCUCUUUAAUGAUGAACUUAGAAAGUCACAUAGCAUAGCAUGUGUGAGUAGGACACAUAAAUUGCCUCCAAAUUCAUCAUAAAAGAGAAAUAGCUCUCAUCUUGUCAUAUGUAACUUUGUAUUCUAUAAAUAAAAAACAAUUUUAGAAUAAAAAGGUUAGUUGGGAACAAAUUGGCAAAGCUUGGAUUCUUAAACCUCCUCAGUGGACAAUGCAGUAUAUCUAAACUUUGUUGAAUAGACGAUGCCUUUUGUAUUUUUUUAAAUUAUUAUUCUAGUUUUUCUGAAUCCAAGAUUUUCAUAUAUAACAAAAUAAAUGUCAGGGAUAUUAAUUAAUAUUAGUUUAAAAUGUUAAUUUAAUAAUAUCUGUAUCUCAGAGUUUAAAUAUUUCGCAUUAAUACUGGCAGAUUAAGCGGCACAAAUGCAGAAGAGCCGAAAAGAAAGAAGUUCUGUUUGAGGACAAGCUCUCUUCUUAAUUCCAUGGCGUCCUUCAAAGUUACGUUUGCACUGCUGCAGGUAAGGAAUUCCGUCUUCUCUAGUCGCUGGUUCCAAAGUAGUCGAAUUAAGUUCCCUGCACGAAUUAAAAUCUCUUCGAUUUCUAACCCGUGCUUAUCAACUUCCAACUCUGUUCCGUCACACUGCUCUGUUCUCCUCCUGAUGAUCCUCUGUUUCUGGUGUUCUUUCCGCUCGGGUUGCACGAAUCUCUGUAACUACCGCUGCUCCCAAACUCAGGACCACAAGCGUUGCAUCAAGUACUGUAACCUUUGCUGCCAGAAAUGCCCGUGCGUUCCCCCGGCUUCUACGGCAACAAGCAAGUCUGCCCCUGCUACAACAACAUGAAGAAUGCCCGCGGCGGUCCAAAGUGCCCGUGAAGAGUGUAUCGAUCGUCCGGCACUCGACGAGAUCUUACUUAGCUUCUUGCAGACAGACUUGUAUUGGCAUGAAAAAAUCUGCCCAUCUGUUUCAAAAGGCUUUAGAUUAGUUGUAAGAGAAUGAAAUGGAUUCAAGUAUACCAUACUCUCUUUCGCUUUAC
Molecule: long non-coding RNA, 2372 nt
Filed under: Selaginella moellendorffii
Lineage: Eukaryota; Viridiplantae; Streptophyta; Lycopodiopsida; Selaginellales; Selaginellaceae
Description: long non-coding RNA (SMOE_LNC001196)
Source: RNAcentral